UACGGGGGGGGCAAGCGUUGUUCGGAAUUACUGGGCGUAAAGGGCUCGUAGGUGGCCAACUAAGUCAGACGUGAAAUCCCUCGGCUUAACCGGGGAACUGCGUCUGAUACUGGAUGGCUUGAGUUCGGGAGAGGGAUGCGGAAUUCCAGGUGUAGCGGUGAAAUGCGUAGAUAUCGGAAGGAACAUCAGUGGCGAAAGCGGCUUCCUGGACCAGCACCGACGUUCAGGCACGAAAGCGUGGGGAGCAAACAGG
This 253-nucleotide ribosomal RNA is filed under the name uncultured bacterium. Its description in RNAcentral is "partial 16S ribosomal RNA". It matches the Rfam family "Bacterial small subunit ribosomal RNA", at positions 524 to 776 of the family's 1533-position model. The record is from RNAcentral.